Molecule: ribosomal RNA, 2904 nt
Filed under: Escherichia coli
Lineage: Bacteria; Pseudomonadati; Pseudomonadota; Gammaproteobacteria; Enterobacterales; Enterobacteriaceae
Description: 23S ribosomal RNA
Rfam family: Bacterial large subunit ribosomal RNA
Source: RNAcentral
UUAAGCGACUAAGCGUACACGGUGGAUGCCCUGGCAGUCAGAGGCGAUGAAGGACGUGCUAAUCUGCGAUAAGCGUCGGUAAGGUGAUAUGAACCGUUAUAACCGGCGAUUUCCGAAUGGGGAAACCCAGUGUGAUUCGUCACACUAUCAUUAACUGAAUCCAUAGGUUAAUGAGGCGAACCGGGGGAACUGAAACAUCUAAGUACCCCGAGGAAAAGAAAUCAACCGAGAUUCCCCCAGUAGCGGCGAGCGAACGGGGAGCAGCCCAGAGCCUGAAUCAGUGUGUGUGUUAGUGGAAGCGUCUGGAAAGGCGCGCGAUACAGGGUGACAGCCCCGUACACAAAAAUGCACAUGCUGUGAGCUCGAUGAGUAGGGCGGGACACGUGGUAUCCUGUCUGAAUAUGGGGGGACCAUCCUCCAAGGCUAAAUACUCCUGACUGACCGAUAGUGAACCAGUACCGUGAGGGAAAGGCGAAAAGAACCCCGGCGAGGGGAGUGAAAAAGAACCUGAAACCGUGUACGUACAAGCAGUGGGAGCACAGAGCAAUCUGUGUGACUGCGUACCUUUUGUAUAAUGGGUCAGCGACUUAUAUUCUGUAGCAAGGUUAACCGAAUAGGGGAGCCGAAGGGAAACCGAGUCUUAACUGGGCGUUAAGUUGCAGGGUAUAGACCCGAAACCCGGUGAUCUAGCCAUGGGCAGGUUGAAGGUUGGGUAACACUAACUGGAGGACCGAACCGACUAAUGUUGAAAAAUUAGCGGAUGACUUGUGGCUGGGGGUGAAAGGCCAAUCAAACCGGGAGAUAGCUGGUUCUCCCCGAAAGCUAUUUAGGUAGCGCCUCGUGAAUUCAUCUCCGGGGGUAGAGCACUGUUUCGGCAAGGGGGUCAUCCCGACUUACCAACCCGAUGCAAACUGCGAAUACCGGAGAAUGUUAUCACGGGAGACACACGGCGGGUGCUAACGUCCGUCGUGAAGAGGGAAACAACCCAGACCGCCAGCUAAGGUCCCAAAGUCAUGGUUAAGUGGGAAACGAUGUGGGAAGGCCCAGACAGCCAGGAUGUUGGCUUAGAAGCAGCCAUCAUUUAAAGAAAGCGUAAUAGCUCACUGGUCGAGUCGGCCUGCGCGGAAGAUGUAACGGGGCUAAACCAUGCACCGAAGCUGCGGCAGCGACGCUGAUGCGUUGUUGGGUAGGGGAGCGUUCUGUAAGCCUGUGAAGGUGUACUGUGAGGUAUGCUGGAGGUAUCAGAAGUGCGAAUGCUGACAUAAGUAACGAUAAAGCGGGUGAAAAGCCCGCUCGCCGGAAGACCAAGGGUUCCUGUCCAACGUUAAUCGGGGCAGGGUGAGUCGACCCCUAAGGCGAGGCCGAAAGGCGUAGUCGAUGGGAAACAGGUUAAUAUUCCUGUACUUGGUGUUACUGCGAAGGGGGGACGGAGAAGGCUAUGUUGGCCGGGCGACGGUUGUCCCGGUUUAAGCGUGUAGGCUGGUUUUCCAGGCAAAUCCGGAAAAUCAAGGCUGAGGCGUGAUGACGAGGCACUACGGUGCUGAAGCAACAAAUGCCCUGCUUCCAGGAAAAGCCUCUAAGCAUCAGGUAACAUCAAAUCGUACCCCAAACCGACACAGGUGGUCAGGUAGAGAAUACCAAGGCGCUUGAGAGAACUCGGGUGAAGGAACUAGGCAAAAUGGUGCCGUAACUUCGGGAGAAGGCACGCUGAUAUGUAGGUGAAGUCCCUCGCGGAUGGAGCUGAAAUCAGUCGAAGAUACCAGCUGGCUGCAACUGUUUAUUAAAAACACAGCACUGUGCAAACACGAAAGUGGACGUAUACGGUGUGACGCCUGCCCGGUGCCGGAAGGUUAAUUGAUGGGGUUAGCGCAAGCGAAGCUCUUGAUCGAAGCCCCGGUAAACGGCGGCCGUAACUAUAACGGUCCUAAGGUAGCGAAAUUCCUUGUCGGGUAAGUUCCGACCUGCACGAAUGGCGUAAUGAUGGCCAGGCUGUCUCCACCCGAGACUCAGUGAAAUUGAACUCGCUGUGAAGAUGCAGUGUACCCGCGGCAAGACGGAAAGACCCCGUGAACCUUUACUAUAGCUUGACACUGAACAUUGAGCCUUGAUGUGUAGGAUAGGUGGGAGGCUUUGAAGUGUGGACGCCAGUCUGCAUGGAGCCGACCUUGAAAUACCACCCUUUAAUGUUUGAUGUUCUAACGUUGACCCGUAAUCCGGGUUGCGGACAGUGUCUGGUGGGUAGUUUGACUGGGGCGGUCUCCUCCUAAAGAGUAACGGAGGAGCACGAAGGUUGGCUAAUCCUGGUCGGACAUCAGGAGGUUAGUGCAAUGGCAUAAGCCAGCUUGACUGCGAGCGUGACGGCGCGAGCAGGUGCGAAAGCAGGUCAUAGUGAUCCGGUGGUUCUGAAUGGAAGGGCCAUCGCUCAACGGAUAAAAGGUACUCCGGGGAUAACAGGCUGAUACCGCCCAAGAGUUCAUAUCGACGGCGGUGUUUGGCACCUCGAUGUCGGCUCAUCACAUCCUGGGGCUGAAGUAGGUCCCAAGGGUAUGGCUGUUCGCCAUUUAAAGUGGUACGCGAGCUGGGUUUAGAACGUCGUGAGACAGUUCGGUCCCUAUCUGCCGUGGGCGCUGGAGAACUGAGGGGGGCUGCUCCUAGUACGAGAGGACCGGAGUGGACGCAUCACUGGUGUUCGGGUUGUCAUGCCAAUGGCACUGCCCGGUAGCUAAAUGCGGAAGAGAUAAGUGCUGAAAGCAUCUAAGCACGAAACUUGCCCCGAGAUGAGUUCUCCCUGACCCUUUAAGGGUCCUGAAGGAACGUUGAAGACGACGACGUUGAUAGGCCGGGUGUGUAAGCGCAGCGAUGCGUUGAGCUAACCGGUACUAAUGAACCGUGAGGCUUAACCUU